This is a ribosomal RNA of Drosophila sechellia, 1662 nucleotides long. It matches the Rfam family "Eukaryotic large subunit ribosomal RNA", at positions 2009 to 3401 of the family's 3401-position model. The record is from Rfam. NCBI's taxonomy places the organism in Eukaryota, Metazoa, Arthropoda, Insecta, Diptera, Drosophilidae.
CCUGCUCCAGACAGCACAUUGAGGUAGGCCCCCUGGUGGGAGUAUCGUGGUGGCUGUGGUUGAUACCCAUAUCGCGGGUAGAGCCUUCGUGUUCGACGUUUGAGUUACGGUGCUAGUUGCGCAAAACUCGGGUGCUGUGACCCAGAGAUCAGUAGAGAUUUUAGGUAGAUCUCGCUCCUCAGCAAGGGGGAGUGCUUGCCCGGCAAGCAAGUACUCGAAUUGCUACCGGGGUGGUCGCUAUGUACAUAGCUAUAGCUUCCAGUCCGGGACGUUUGUCUGGCGUAUCCAGACUCAUGCACCAUGUUGAUACAUGCACCACUUGUGGGUGUUCAGGGUGUCGUGGUUGUAAUCCCUUCAGUGUGGAACACGCCACGUAAAACAAGUUCGGAGAGGUCCGAAAGUCACUGUCCCUAUCUACUAUCUAGCGAAACCACAGCCAAGGGAACGGGCUUGGAAUAAUUAGCGGGGAAAGAAGACCCUUUUGAGCUUGACUCUAAUCUGGCAGUGUAAGGAGACAUAAGAGGUGUAGAAUAAGUGGGAGAUAUUAGACCUCGGUUUGGUAUCGUCAAUGAAAUACCACUACUCUUAUUGUUUCCUUACUUACUUGAUUAAAUGGAACGUGUAUCAUUUCCUAGCCAUUAUACGGAUAUAUUUAUUAUAUCUUAUGGUAUUGGGUUUUGAUGCAAGCUUCUUGAUCAAAGUAUCACGAGUUUGUUAUAUAAUCGCAAACAAAUUCUUUAAUAAAACGAUGCAUUUAUGUAUUUUUGAUUUGAAAAUUUGGUAUAACUCCAAUUACUCAGGUAUGAUCCAAUUCAAGGACAUUGCCAGGUAGGGAGUUUGACUGGGGCGGUACAUCUCUCAAAUAAUAACGGAGGUGUCCCAAGGCCAGCUCAGUGCGGACAGAAACCACACAUAGAGCAAAAGGGCAAAUGCUGACUUGAUUUCGGUGUUCAGUACACACAGGGACAGCAAAAGCUCGGCCUAUCGAUCCUUUUGGUUUAAAGAGUUUUUAACAAGAGGUGUCAGAAAAGUUACCAUAGGGAUAACUGGCUUGUGGCGGCCAAGCGUUCAUAGCGACGUCGCUUUUUGAUCCUUCGAUGUCGGCUCUUCCUAUCAUUGUGAAGCAAAAUUCACCAAGCGUUGGAAUGUUCACCCAUGCAAGGGAACGUGAGCUGGGUUAGACCGUCGUGAGACAGGUUAGUUUUACCCUACUAAUGACAAAACGUUGUUGCGACAGCAUUCCUGCGUAGUACGAGAGGAACCGCAGGUACGGACCAAUGGCACAAUACUUGUUCGAGCGAACAGUGGUAUGACGCUACGUCCGUUGGAUUAUGCCUGAACGCCUCUAAGGUCGUAUCCGUGCUGGACUGCAAUGAUAAAUAAGGGGCAAUUUGCAUUGUAUGGCUUCUAAACCAUUUAAAGUUUAUAAUUUAUUUUAUAAACGACAAUGGAUGUGAUGCCAAUGUAAUUUGUAACAUAGUAAAUUAGGAGGAUCUUCGAUCACCUGAUGCCGCGCUAGUUACAUAUAAAAGCAUUAUUUAAUACAAUGACAAAGCCUAGAAUCAAUUGUAAACGACUUUUGUAACAGGCAAGGUGUUGUAAGUGGUUGAGCAGCUGCCAUACUGCGAUCCACUGAAGCUUAUCCUUUGCUUGAUGAUUCGA